GUCUACGGCCACGCCCCCCUGAACAAGCCCAAACCUGUCUGAUCUGGAAGCUAAGCAAGGUCGGGCCUAGUGAGUACUUGGAUGAGAGCCCACCUAGGAAGACCAGGUGCUGUAGGCG
Molecule: ribosomal RNA, 118 nt
Filed under: Pteropus vampyrus (large flying fox)
Lineage: Eukaryota; Metazoa; Chordata; Mammalia; Chiroptera; Pteropodidae
Source: RNAcentral